AUGUCCCGCGCUUGGGAUGACGGUGAGGCGUGGCGCAAGCGCCGGUACGAGGAUCUCCUGGACCCGCCUCGCCCCUCUCCGGACUCUCUCCGCCGCGAGGAAGACUUGCGCCGGGAGCUCCGCGGCCGCGAUCACGACUCCUCUCGCCCGUCUGCCCAGGAGGAUCGCCAGGACGCGCGCUGGUCACCCGACCGCUCCGCAUGGCGUGGCCGGUCGCGCUCCCCCCUGUCGCGGGUGGCCGGCCGGCUCGCCGCCGCUCCCCCUCCCCGGUGCACCGUCACGACCGUUCACCCUCCCUGCCCCGGCAACAGCGCCCUCCAUCCCCGCGGCCUCCCGCACCGGCUCCGGCUGCCCCCGCCCGGAAAUAUGUCCCGCCCCAUGCCUCCUCCUCGGCCACACCCCUCGCUUCGGGUGUCAUGGGUGGGGGGCAGCCCCGUGGCCUCCAAGGGCAUUCCAAGAAGAAGAAGAGGCGUGGCCAGGGCCGGGCNNNNNNNNNNNNNNNNNNNNNNNNNNNNNNNNNNNNNNNNNNNNNNNNNNNNNNNNNNNNNNNNNNNNNNNNNNNNNNNNNNNNNNNNNNNNNNNNNNNNNNNNNNNNNNNNNNNNNNNNNNNNNNNNNNNNNNNNNCAACCCCGCCUGCUGCUACAUCUGCAAGGACCUCGGACACCCCGCCCUCUUAUGCCCGGAUCGGCCGAUCCCGGACAAGCUAGGAUGUAUGGACAUGGGAUCGAGGGGUUGGGGUUCUUCCACAUUGAGGUCCCCGACAUCUCGCCACCCACCCCAUCCCUCCAGGCGGUGGUCAUAGUGAUAGACGGUGUGGCCUCCCCCGAGAUGAUCGAGGCGGAGCUCAACCACCUGUACCGCCGUCAGUUGGAUUGGGCGGUCACUCCCAUCUCCGGCACCGAGUUCUCUGUGGUCUUCCCCGACUCCGUCAGCCACGGAUACGCCACCCGCAGCGACCAGAUCACACUUGCCCUCAACAAACUCGUCGUCGACAUUUCCGAGCCGAUUCUCGACCCGAAGGCGGUGGCCGUUCUCGACACGGCCUGGAUCCUUAUUGCCAGUCUCCCCGACAUCGCGCGCUCUGAGCGUGUCAUCCGUCAAAUGUCACGGAUUCUGGGCAAGGUGGUCGUCGUCGAUGAGCUUUCCCUCCGCAAGGAGGAGGAGGUGCGAGUCAAGGUCAAGUGCCUCGACUCCGACAAGCUGCGGGCCACAAUUCAGGUCUUCUUCAACGACCAAGGAUUCGACCUCCGCAUUGCUCCCGAGCCGCCCAACCAUGUGGGGCGCCCUCGCUUCACUGACGACGGGGAAGUUGCUCCCCCAGAGUCCAGAUCGAGGCCAUCCGCGCCCGGGAAGUCCUGGAUGGCCGGCUGGCCGAGACCCGUGCCCGCCUGGCCUCCUCCUCCUCGGAGGCUAGCGCCCUCCCCCGGACCCCCAGUCGUCCCGUCUGGCGGCCCCCGCCCCCCUGGAGAUUCGGGGCCGCACCCGAUCCCGCACCGCCGCCCUCCGCGCGCAAAGCGCCUCCCGUGUCCUGGGGUCAAACAGCCCCUCCAUGGCAGUCUGAUGCGGACUCUCUUCUGGAACAUCUGCGGGUUCGGCCAGGAUGGCCGACGCUGCCAACUCAUCGAAUACAUGCGUGACGAGCACAUUGACAUAGUUGCAAUCCAAGAGACCAUGCAAACCGAUUUCACCCUGGCCGAGCUUGAGCACCUGAGCACCCACUUGUUCGCCUGGCAUUGGCUCCCUUCUAGUGGGAUCGCCGGGCACUCUGGUGGCAUCCUAUUAGGUGUCAAGGAUGCCACCUUUGAGGUUGGGAGCAUGGAUAGGGGUGAGUUCUUUGUGAGCAUGGAAAUCUUCGAGCGUGCACUGAACUUUAAGUGGGAGAUCAUUAUAGUCUAUGGCCCCGCCGACCAUAGUCGCUCGGUGUCCUUCCUCGACGAGCUCUGGAGUAAGUUGUUCAACGAUUGUAUUGCAGAUCUCGGUUUGCGGGAAUUGGAUAGGAUUGGUGCCAGGUUCACCUGGACCAAUCGCCAGGCCGACCCAACGCGCUCCGUGCUGGAUCGGGUCUUGGUAUCUCCUGAGUGGGAGUUGAGGUACCCCCUUGCCUCCCUCCGCGCCAUCACGCGUAUUGGAUCGGACCACGUUCCUCUUCUUCUAUCCUCUCAGGAUGAACGCCCCCCCUCUGCCCCUAGAUUCCGCUUCGAGAUGUUCUGGCUUAACCAGAACGGUUUCGCCGAGGCCGUGCGCAGCCGCUGGCUGGAAGCCCGCCUUGCUUCCCACCGAUCCAUCUCGGCGGUGGAUGACUGGCACUUCUGCGCCAAGCGCGCCCGUCAGUUCAUGAAGGGCUGGGGCGCGAAUCUCGGGAGGGACCUCCGUCUUCGCAAGAAAGCCCUCCUUGACUCCAUUCAGGCCCUGGACCUUCGGGCCGACUCGGUGGGCCUCUCUCCUGACGAAUGGAUGCAGCGGUAUGACCUUGAAGACCAUCUUAUGGUCAUAUACACCGACGAGGAGGUGUAUUGGCACCUUCGAGGUACCCAAAAGUGGGUUCUCCAGGGUGACGCGAAUACCGCCUACUUCCAGGCGAUCGCCAAUGGUCGGCGGCGGCGGAAUACCAUCCCCCUGCUGUGGGAUGGCGAGACGCAUCUCCAGCGGCCUGCUGACAGUCGUGCCCACGUUGACGGCUUCUAUCAAGCCCUGUUUGCAACCCCCCUAGCUCUUGCGCCACACUUCUGGACCUUCUGGCCCGCCAUCAAACAGGAGGUCAUGGCCAUCUUCGAGGAGUUCUAUGUCGGUUCCAUAGAUCUCAAGCGCCUUAACUACGGGAUUAUCACUCUGAUUCCCAAGGUCCCAGGCGCCUCUAACAUCCACCAGUUCCGUCCUAUCACGAUGAUCAAUGUGAUCUUCCGCAUUCUUGCCAAGGGGUACGCCAAUAGGAUGGUGUCGUCAGGUCGCACCGCGGUGAACAUCAAUGGGGAAAUCGGGCCCUACUUCCCCACCUCCUGUGGGGUUAGACAGGGUGACCCCUUUUCCCCGUUUUUGUUCAAUAUGGUGGUUGAUGCCCUGGCCUCGAUCCUGGAUAAGGCCAAGGCCGCCGGCCACAUUCUAGGCAUCGCCCCGCACUUGGUGGAGGGAGGAGGCGUUUCCCUUCUCCAAUACGCCGAUGACACCAUCAUCAUGGUUCAAGGCUCGGCGCCUGAGAUCUCAAACCUCAAAUUUCUCCUACUGUGUUUUCAACACCUGUCGAGCCUCAAAAUAAAUUUUGAUAAAAGCGAGGUAGCCCGUAUGAUCCUCAUCAACUCGUCCCUCUCCAGCCUCCUCCUAUUCAUCAUGAGCUUCUACAGCUUCCCUGAGACUCUCCACCACGAGAUUGGUUCGGUCCAGGCCCGGUUCUAUUGGGCGGGCGAGGGUGACAAGCAGAAGUACCAUAUGGUGCGCUGGUCCGAAAUCUGCAAGCCCCGGGACCAAGGCGGCCUUGGUAUCAUGUCAUCCAAGCGCAUGAACCUGGCGCUCCUCACUCGUUGGCUCUAG
This 3525-nucleotide ribosomal RNA is filed under the name Triticum aestivum (bread wheat). RNAcentral describes it as "partial small subunit ribosomal RNA". Lineage: Eukaryota; Viridiplantae; Streptophyta; Magnoliopsida; Poales; Poaceae. The record is from RNAcentral.